Molecule: ribosomal RNA, 118 nt
Filed under: Danio rerio (zebrafish)
Lineage: Eukaryota; Metazoa; Chordata; Actinopteri; Cypriniformes; Danionidae
Source: RNAcentral
CUUAAGAGCCGUAUCACCCUGCUGCCCAAGACUGGUUACUCACUGAUGCUACGCAGGGCUGAGCCUGGUCAGUACCUAGAUGGGAGACCACAUGGGAAAAACAAGGUUGCUAUUGGAA